Molecule: long non-coding RNA, 1749 nt
Organism: Anguilla rostrata (American eel)
Lineage: Eukaryota; Metazoa; Chordata; Actinopteri; Anguilliformes; Anguillidae
Exons: 3
Source: RefSeq, a predicted model, not a curated record
CUCGGGGUGAGGGAGAGGGCAGAGAUGGUACUCUUCAUGAGAAAAGAAUUGAGAUACUGGAAAUGCUGGUGAGAUGGAAAUGAAUGUAAGGCAGCAAUCCAUGUGAGACAUCAGAGAGAGGUACUCCAGGUGAGAUAGACCUGAGACAGGUAUUCCUGGUGUGAGACACAUGCGACAGGUAUUCCAGGUGAGCUACACCCGAGACAGGUAUUCACAGGUGAGCUACACCCGAGACAGGUAUUCCAGGUGAGCUACACCUGAGACAGGUAUUCACAGGUGAGCUACACCCGAGACAGUUAUUCACAGGUGAGCUACACUCGAGUCAGUUAUUCCAGGUGAGCUACACCCGAGACAGGUAUUCCCAGUUGAGCUACACCCGAAACAGGUAUUCCCAGGUUAGCUAUACCCGGGACAGGUAUUCCAGGUGAGCUACACCUGAGACAGGUAUUCCAGGUGAGAUGCACAUAAAAUACAUGCCCUCUAGGUGAGAUGCAUAUGGGAGACAGGUACUGCAGGUAAGACACAGGCAGCUGAGAGUUGGGAACAUUCGUUAUGUUUAUGUCACACAUGAUGUAAGAAUUUUAUUUUCCCAGAAAAUUGCCACCCUGCAACUUUGCUAGCAAAAUUGAACUUACAGGUGCCACUUGCAUUGGCCUAAUAGCAUCAUUGAGUUUACAGUAGGGCUGUCACUUUUUCCCCAAAAUGACAUUCGAAUGAAUUCCAAUUAAGAUGGAAUUCGUUCUAAUAAAUUCAAAUCUUAUGUAAUCUGAUACUCUAGCGGAACGGAUGCGAAUAAUACCCUAAAUGAACAUGCCUUGUCUCCCUCUCCUUUUGCAAUCUCAUCCCAUUUCACAAUCGCAAACAAACAUUCAUUAACAAUUUAUUUAUUCAGUAGGUGAGAGUAUAAGCUAUCUAACAAUGUAUAACAUGUCUAAUUUUGCUUUUGGAAUAGCGUUUUAUAUCUCAGCAUAACCAAAAGUUUUCUCAUCAUCGCAUUCACUUACGCAUUCACUCUAUGGUAGCAGUGAAAGGCACUGCACGUGACGAAACGUUGUAAACGAUUUUUCGUAAAUUCUUGGAAAAUACUAUUAUUAUUGAGGACUUCUGAGCAUAGCUAAGCCAUAUGUUUGCUGAUGGACUUACUGACAUCAUUUGACAUCUGGAUGAGAAACACCUACAGGUUGUUGGACAGAAAAACAAGUCUGUCAACUUGAUCUGAAUGUAGUGCGGCUCGCUUUUUAUUUACAAUAUUGCCGGCAGACAACACUUUUUCGGAUCGCACAGUUCCAGGCACGUGCAUGUAUUUGUGAGAGAGCGAGCAGUGAGAGCCGAGCGUAUCGGACGCAAAAUACUUCUUCUGAGAACAUCGCUUCUGAGGUGCGCUGAUGUUGUAAUUGUUCUCAUGGACUCGCUCGGCUAGCUCUGAGUAGGCUCGCUAGAUUCCGCCAUCUUGAAUGAAUGAAACAUCCGCCGUUGGUUGUGCAUGGCAGCGGAAUGCCACUUUUCAGAAGACAAGGCUCAUUACAUCAAUCCACGACAUGAGAAAAAAUAGAACCAGGCAGUUACAUUAAUUGCAUUCCCCAAUUUAGAAUUUGAAUGCAUUAUUACAGUUCAAACUUUUCAUAUUUCACCAGAUUCGAACAAGAAUUAGAAUUUUGAAUAAAAAGUGACAGCGCUAGGUUACAGGCUUCCUGAUUUGCAGGAUUCAGUGUUAUCACAGGUAAAAUCAUAGCUGUUAAUUACUAUGAC